RNAcentral lists this ribosomal RNA (492 nucleotides) under uncultured bacterium. Its description in RNAcentral is "partial 16S ribosomal RNA". It matches the Rfam family "Bacterial small subunit ribosomal RNA", at positions 29 to 507 of the family's 1533-position model. The record is from RNAcentral.
AGUGUACGCUGGCGGUAGGCCUAACACAUGCAAGUCGAACGGCAGCACAGUAAGAGCUUGCUCUUACGGGUGGCGAGUGGCGGACGGGUGAGGAAUACAUCGGAAUCUACUUUUUCGUGGGGGAUAACGUAGGGAAACUUACGCUAAUACCGCAUACGACCUACGGGUGAAAGCAGGGGAUCUUCGGACCUUGCGUGAUUGAAUGAGCCGAUGUCGGAUUAGCUAGUUGGCGGGGUAAAGGCCCACCAAGGCGACGAUCCGUAGCUGGUCUGAGAGGAUGAUCAGCCACACUGGAACUGAGACACGGUCCAGACUCCUACGGGAGGCAGCAGUGGGGAAUAUUGGACAAUGGGCGCAAGCCUGAUCCAGCCAUACCGCGUGGGUGAAGAAGGCCUUCGGGUUGUAAAGCCCUUUUGUUGGGAAAGAAAAGCAGCAGGUUAAUACCCCGCUGUUCUGACGGUACCCAAAGAAUAAGCACCGGCUAACUUCGUG